This is a non-coding RNA of Triticum aestivum (bread wheat), 116 nucleotides long. The record is from Rfam. NCBI's taxonomy places the organism in Eukaryota, Viridiplantae, Streptophyta, Magnoliopsida, Poales, Poaceae.
AAUAUACUCCCUCCGUUCGAAAGUUACUUGUCUCGGAAAUGGAUGUAUCUAGAUGUAUUUCACUUUUAAAUACAUCCAUUUUCGAGACAAGUAAUUCCGAACGGAGGGAGUAUAUA